GUCCAGACUCCUACGGGAGGCAGCAGUGGGGAAUAUUGCACAAUGGGGGAAACCCUGAUGCAGCGACGCCGCGUGAGCGAAGAAGUACCUCGGUAUGUAAAGCUCUAUCAGCAGGGAAGAAGAUGACGGUACCUGACCAAGAAGCUCCGGCUAAAUACGUGCCAGCAGCCGCGGUAAUACGUAUGGAGCAAGCGUUAUCCGGAUUUACUGGGUGUAAAGGGAGCGCAGGCGGCACGGCAAGCCUGAUGUGAAAGCCCGCGGCCCAACCGCGGGACUGCAUUGGGAACUACCGGGCUGGAGUGCCGGAGGGGCAGGCGGAAUUCCUGGUGUAGCGGUGAAAUGCGUAGAUAUCAGGAGGAACACCGGUGGCGAAGGCGGCCUGCUGGACUGCGACUGACGUUGAGGCCCGAAAGCGUGGGGAGCAAACAGGAUUAGAUACCCCUGUA
RNAcentral lists this ribosomal RNA (446 nucleotides) under uncultured bacterium. RNAcentral's name for it is "partial 16S ribosomal RNA". It matches the Rfam family "Bacterial small subunit ribosomal RNA", at positions 329 to 792 of the family's 1533-position model. The record is from RNAcentral.